UAAUUGAAGAGUUUGAUCAUGGCUCAGAUUGAACGCUGGCGGCAGGCCUAACACAUGCAAGUCGAGCGGUAACAGGAGAAAGCUUGCUUUCUUGCUGACGAGCGGCGGACGGGUGAGUAAUGUAUGGGGAUCUGCCCGAUAGAGGGGGAUAACUACUGGAAACGGUGGCUAAUACCGCAUAAUGUCUACGGACCAAAGCAGGGGCUCUUCGGACCUUGCACUAUCGGAUGAACCCAUAUGGGAUUAGCUAGUAGGUGGGGUAAAGGCUCACCUAGGCGACGAUCUCUAGCUGGUCUG
RNAcentral lists this ribosomal RNA (297 nucleotides) under Proteus mirabilis. RNAcentral describes it as "partial 16S ribosomal RNA". It matches the Rfam family "Bacterial small subunit ribosomal RNA", at positions 1 to 294 of the family's 1533-position model. Lineage: Bacteria; Pseudomonadati; Pseudomonadota; Gammaproteobacteria; Enterobacterales; Morganellaceae. The record is from RNAcentral.